This 69-nucleotide transfer RNA is filed under the name Ictidomys tridecemlineatus (thirteen-lined ground squirrel). RNAcentral's name for it is "Spermophilus tridecemlineatus (thirteen-lined ground squirrel) tRNA". It matches the Rfam family "tRNA". Rfam says of the family: Transfer RNA (tRNA) molecules are approximately 80 nucleotides in length. Lineage: Eukaryota; Metazoa; Chordata; Mammalia; Rodentia; Sciuridae. The record is from Rfam by way of RNAcentral.
GGAGUUAUAGCUCAGUGGUAGAGCGCUUGCCUUGGAUGUAUGAGGCACUGGGUUUGAUCCUCAGCACCA